UGUCUAUUAAUUGUAGACCUGUAUGAAAGGCAAAAUGAGGGCCUAACUGUCUCUUAUAGUAAAUCAAUUAAACUGAUCUCCCAGUCAAAAAGCUAGGAUAAAAACAUAAGACCAGAAGACCCUGUGAAGCUUAAACUAAACUAUUAAACCAUAUAAUAGCUCCUUUCGGUUGGGGCGACCUUGGAAAAAAAAAGAACUUCCAACACACAUACCCUAUACAGGUAUAACCAAGGCCAACAAGCCACCAAUGACCCAGCACAGCUGAUUAUUGAACCAAGUUACUCCAGGGAUAACAGCGCUAUCUUCUUCAAGAGACCAUAUCAAAAAGAAGGUUUACGACCUCGAUGUUGGAUCAGGACAUCCUAAUGGUGCAGCCGCUAUUAAGGGUUCGUUUGUUCAACGAUUAAUAGU
This 411-nucleotide ribosomal RNA is filed under the name Micruroides euryxanthus (Arizona coral snake). RNAcentral describes it as "partial 16S ribosomal RNA". It matches the Rfam family "Bacterial large subunit ribosomal RNA", at positions 1970 to 2594 of the family's 2925-position model. Lineage: Eukaryota; Metazoa; Chordata; Lepidosauria; Squamata; Elapidae. The record is from RNAcentral.